UACGUAGGUGGCAAGCGUUGUCCGGAUUUACUGGGCGUAAAGAGCGCGCAGGCGGUCGUUCAAGUCGCGUGUGAAAGCCCCCGGCUCAACUGGGGAGGGUCACGCGAUACUGAUCGACUCGAAGGCAGGAGAGGGUAGUGGAAUUCCCAGUGUAGAGGUGAAAUUCGUAGAUAUUGGGAAGAACACCAGUGGCGAAGGCGGCUAACUGGUCCAGAUCUGACGCUGAGGUGCGAAAGCGUGGGGAGCAAACAGG
This 253-nucleotide ribosomal RNA is filed under the name uncultured bacterium. Its description in RNAcentral is "partial 16S ribosomal RNA". It matches the Rfam family "Bacterial small subunit ribosomal RNA", at positions 524 to 776 of the family's 1533-position model. The record is from RNAcentral.